RNAcentral lists this ribosomal RNA (576 nucleotides) under uncultured bacterium. Its description in RNAcentral is "bacterial SSU rRNA". It matches the Rfam family "Bacterial small subunit ribosomal RNA", at positions 153 to 738 of the family's 1533-position model. The record is from RNAcentral.
GAAACUGCCGGUAAUACCGGAUAAUGUCUCCGGACCAAAGGUGUGAUUCCGCCUGGGGAUGGGUCUGCGUCCUAUUAGCUUGUUGGUGGGGUAAUGGCCUACCAAGGCAAAGAUGGGUACCGGGUGUGAGAGCAUGGCCCGGCUCACUGGGACUGAGACACUGCCCAGACACCUACGGGUGGCUGCAGUCGAGAAUCUUCCGCAAUGGGCGCAAGCCUGACGGAGCGACGCCGCGUGCGGGAUGAAGGCCUUCGGGUUGUAAACCGCUGUCAGUGGGGAGGAAAUGCAUGAGGGUUCUCUCUCAUGUUUGACCGAUCCGCAGAGGAAGUGCAGGCUAAGUUCGUGCCAGCAGCCGCGGUAACACGAACUGCACAAACGUUAUUCGGAAUCACUGGGCUUAAAGAGUUCGUAGGCGGCCGGGUCAGUCGGGUGUGAAAUCCCUCGGCUCAACCGAGGAACUGCGCCCGAUACUGCUCGGCUUGAGGGGGUCAGAGGUGAGCGGAACUGAUGGUGGAGCGGUGAAAUGCGUUGAUAUCAUCAGGAACACCGGUGGCGAAAGCGGCUCACUGGGGCUUU